RNAcentral lists this ribosomal RNA (433 nucleotides) under uncultured bacterium. RNAcentral's name for it is "partial 16S ribosomal RNA". It matches the Rfam family "Bacterial small subunit ribosomal RNA", at positions 29 to 507 of the family's 1533-position model. The record is from RNAcentral.
AACGAACGCUGGCGGCAUGCCUAACACAUGCAAGUCGAACGAGACCUUCGGGUCUAGUGGCGCACGGGUGCGUAACGCGUGGUAACCUGCCCUUAGGUUCGGAAUAACUCCCCGAAAGGGGUGCUAAUACCGGAUAAUGUCUUCGGACCAAAGAUUUAUCGCCUUUGGAUGGGCCCGCGUUGGAUUAGCUAGUUGGUAGGGUAAAAGCCUACCAAGGCGACGAUCCAUAGCUGGUCUGAGAGGAUGAUCAGCCACACUGGGAAUGAGACACGGCCCAGACUCCGACGGGAGGCAGCAGUGGGGAAUAUUGGACGAUGGGCGAAAGCCUGAUCCAGCAAUGCCGCGUGAGUGAUGAAGGCCUUAGGGUUGUAAAGCUCUUUUACCCGGGAUGAUAAUGACAGUACCGGGAGAAUAAGCUCCGGCUAACUCCGUG